RNAcentral lists this unclassified non-coding RNA (409 nucleotides) under uncultured fungus. RNAcentral's name for it is "partial contains small subunit ribosomal RNA, internal transcribed spacer 1, and 5.8S ribosomal RNA". The stretch from base 1 to 73 matches the Rfam family "Eukaryotic small subunit ribosomal RNA", at positions 1759 to 1831 of the family's 1831-position model. The record is from RNAcentral. Lineage: Eukaryota; Fungi.
GCAAACUUGGUCAUUUAGAGGAAGUAAAAGUCGUAACAAGGUUUCCGUAGGUGAACCUGCGGAAGGAUCAUUAUUGAAUUAUGUUUCUAGAUAGGUUGUAGCUGGCUCUCUAGAGCAUGUGCACGCCUGUUUGGAUUUCAUUUUCAUCCACCUGUGCACCUAUUGUAGUCUUUGGUUGGGUUAGGAGGAAGUGAUCAUCUUAUCAGCAUUUGCUGGAUAUGGGGACUUGCAUUGUGAAAGCUUUGCUGUCCUUGAUGUGAUCAUGAAAUCUUUCACUCACCAGAGUCUAUGUAACUCAUUAUACCCUGUCGAAUGUCAUUGAAUGUCUUUACAUGGGCUUGCCCAUGAAAAUUGUAAUACAACUUUCAGCAACGGAUCUCUUGGCUCUCGCAUCGAUGAAGAACGCAGC